CUUAAUUAUACCCUUUCCGGAGUUCCCAGAGGUGUUCCUCCAUGCAAAGAUCCUUCAGCCCUUGUUAGGAAGUGGAGAGCACCCUCACUGGUUUUCCUUUAUUUAAUUGCUCCGGAAUAUUGCCUCAUUGGCCUCUUUGUCAUAGUGUUUCCAUUGUUAUUUGUCUUCACCUGGUUAUAUCAUUUUAGGCCUUGUCAAGACCUGCAACUACUUUGUUCACUCAUGUGUGUGCACACAUAUGUGCAGCUUCAUUUUACAUAUGUGUGCCUAUGGAGGCUAGAUGUGUGCAUAUGAAGCAUGUCUUCUAUGCCCUCCAUCUCAUUUGUAAAGACAGUAGCACACUGAGUUUGAAGCUUGCUUAUUUGGCUGGACUGGCUGUUUAGCAAGUCCCAGGGACUCUUCAGCCUGUGCCUCCAGAGAUACAGGCACCUGGCUUUUUAACAUCUGUGUUGCUGACUGAAUGCAAGUCCUUCUGCUUGUAUGGCAAGCAUGUGACUGUCUUUACUUCAUCUUCCCAGGCCUUCUUUCACUGAUUUAGCAUUUUCUCCCACACUGCUAUCCACUCUUAGUAAGCCAAACCUGAGACAAACUUAGCUGGCCUCUCCUUCUUGAGGUUGGGAAAGGGAGACAGUUGAUGGGGGAAGUACUUCUGUGUAUGUUUAUCUUAUUGAUUGUUUAAUAAAGUUCUGUUUGGCCAAUGAAACAUCAAGUUAGGCAGGACUAGGAGUCAAAGAGGAUUCUGGGAAAUGUAGUAGAGAAGUGGUGAUCCAGGCAGCAAGUGACAUAGUAAGGAGACUCAUAUUUAAGCGAAGGAGAAACAGGAGGGGCCCUCUUUUUUCCCCUCUGCUCCUGCUCCAGUGGCACAAUAUGAUCCACCAACAAGGAGGGACUCCAAUAAGACGUCUGUUGAGCAAACGAAGGACCGGAGUUUUGUAGUUUCUUGGCCAAGGCCUCUGAUCUUUAUGCUGUCUUCUGUCUCAUAUGAGCUCCAGGCCUCCAUGGCCACCCACAUGACAGUAAGGAGUCAAGACUGUGCCUCCUCUUAAAGAUGAUAAUCAAAACAUUAAGGAUUUCUGUUGCCUGGGAGAAUGCUGUCUGUUUCACUGGCUUUUAUAUUCAGCACAACUGAACAUGGCAUUUGAGAGACAGCAAUUGCUCAGAGGUAUUUUCUGAGUCAUCGUUCAGCAGGUAUGUGAGCACAUCUGGCUG
This 1209-nucleotide long non-coding RNA is filed under the name Cricetulus griseus (Chinese hamster). RNAcentral describes it as "lncRNA (ENSCGRG00015040782.1)". The record is from RNAcentral. Lineage: Eukaryota; Metazoa; Chordata; Mammalia; Rodentia; Cricetidae.